CGUCGACCCUCCGGCGGCUGCCGACUCACCCAAGCGUAGGCGAGUCGCCUUCUCCCCGUCUCCUCUUCAUCCCUUUUGCUCCUCUUUUCCUCCACAAUCGAGACGAUUCUUGAAAGAUCCAACUGUGCUCGCUCAUGUACCAGGCCGCCUGCACCACCGGCGGGAUCGACGGCUGCCGCCUGCUCGAUCUCGUCUAGUGUAACAUGCAGGCGCUCGUGUUUCAUACAUUAGAAGACAUUUCUGCGUGAUUAUUCCAACUGUAGUUGUAGUUGCAGAGCAAUGUCGUAUUUGGUGCUGCACACCGUUCUUCUUGAAAUCAGACUAUGGUUUUCGAGAUUUUAUGUGUGCACACAGUAAAUGUUCCUCUCUGCUUGAGUGUUCUCCAGCUUGACAGCCCAUGGAGUUGCACUUCAAUGAUGUGGUAUACAGAGUAUCCACUAACUGGAUGUUUACUUUUCAUCUGUUUUCACAAUCAAACAACAAAAUUCUAGUAAUGUUUGAAACAUAAAACCCACUGUGUUACUUUAUUUGCCAUCUUUCUGUUAAAAAUCUUCAUUUUUCUUCCCA
Musa acuminata subsp. malaccensis (wild Malaysian banana) is the source of this 567-nucleotide long non-coding RNA. RefSeq lists it as uncharacterized. The record is from RefSeq and is a predicted model, not a curated record. NCBI's taxonomy places the organism in Eukaryota, Viridiplantae, Streptophyta, Magnoliopsida, Zingiberales, Musaceae.